UGAGCGUAGUGAACAUCUCGGUGGAUAUUUUUCCUGUUUAUUUUGUCAAGGCUGAGCCUGCCAGAGAAGGCCUUCACUCACCGCCUGCAUCCCCUCAUCUCUUUUCUCCUCAGUCUGAGGAGACUGGCUUUCCCCUCCCCGACUCCACCUUCCUGGGCAAGGCUUUCUCCUUGGGCAGUCUAAAGCAAAUUUUCAUUUCAAAUCCAUAUUUCCAGCCCUGACCUGUGAUUCAACUCAACUCGGGUGCUCCCGCCUGUGGGAACAUAUCCGCUCAGCAGACAAUAGGACAUUGUUGGGAAGAACAAGGGCUUUGGGGAAUCACUCUAGCCUAGAGUUCCCACUUUCUGAGAGACAGAAACCAUGAGAAAUGGAAAGUGCUGAGAACUUGAACUCUGCUAUUUCAGGGUGGAGCAGGACAUACCAUUCCACUCUGUGAAGAAGACUUGCUGACUUUUUGUAGCUGAGAAAACACUGGAGUCCUGUGUGAUUGGUGGGGUAAAUCUUAUGGCUUAUGAGGGAAAUUCUGUUUCCUUUACUCUCCUUAAUUGCUUUCAAACUCAGUUCAGAAACUCUCAGCAACGAUCCGCAACGAGAUCCCGUGGUUGCUUUCUUUUCCCCUUGUAUUUGGCCUUUCUUUCAAAACACUGUCUUUUUUUUUUCAAACUUUAAACUUUUUAUUUUGUAUUGGGAUAUCCCCCGUGGCUCAACUUGUAAAGAACUUGACUGCCAACGCAGGAGAUGUGGGAGAUCUCCUGAGACACAGGUUUGAUCCCUGGAGAAGGAAAUAGCAGUAUUCUUGCCUGGAAAAUUCCAUGGACAGAGGAGCCUGGCAGAUUACAGUCCUUGGGGUCACGCAUGCAUGCCCACAGCGGAUUAACAAAGUUGUGACGGUUUCAGGCGAACAGCGAAGGGACUCAGCCAUACAUGGACAUGUAUCCGUUCUCCCCCAAACUCCUCUCCCAUCCAGGCUGACAAGUCACCUUGAGUGGAGUUCCAUGUGCUAUACAAUAGGUCCUUGUUGGUUAUCCAUCUUGAAUAUAGCAGUGUGUAUAUGACCUUCCCAAACUCCCUGCCAAUGUUUUCAAAAUAGGGUUUCUGUGGGAUUUUUACCUGCCUUUCUUUCUCUCUUCCUUUCUUCAUUCCUUCAUUUCUUCCUUUCUUAGUUUUUUUUUUUGCUGUGCCACAGGGCACGCAGCAUCUUAGUUCCCCAAGGAGGGAUCGAACCGGCAUCCCUUAAGUGGAAACUCGGAGUCUUAACCACUGGACUGCCAGGGAAGUCCCCUCUUGCCUGUUUUUCAUUGGCAUGCUUCCUCCCACUCUCCUUACCUUCCGCAGGAGACGGGACCCAGGAAAGGCAGACCUGCCCACUCUCUGCUCUUUAUUAACGAGGGGCUUUGGGGUCAUGUGAACUACACCUUCUGUAGACUGAGAGGCCAGCCUUGGAGAGAAACAAAGUUUGGUCAGGAUUUCUCAGGGUCCUCUUGUGAUAGAGCCACGUACCAGGGGAAGCUUUUGGAGGGGGAUGUUUUAAAUGCAGAAGGCCUGAGAGCAAGUGGAGCUGGGCAUUUGUGCUCCUGAGGCCUGAUGUCCCUGGAGAGGCUUCCAGCGGGCUUGGACAUCCAGAAACUUCAGUCCCUGUGCUUAGACUCAUUCAUGCAAGGAGACACAUCCUAACUAGGGCACUAUACAAUUUAUCAUACAGACUAGGACAUUUUUAAGAAUAAAUAGAUUAUCAGAAUAAUUAAAAUAAUAUAGUUUUAAAAGUAUUUUUGAAUGACAAAUUAUUGAAUUUAUAAGGUAGUACUGGGUCAGCUGGUAAAGAAUCUGCCUGCAAUGUGGGAGACCUAGAUGCAGUCCCUGGGUUGGGAAGAUCCCCUGGAGAAGGGAUAGGUUACCCAUUCCAGUAUUCUGGCCUGGGGAAUUCCAUGGACUGGAUAGUCCAUGGGGUCGCAAAGGGUUGGACAUUGCUGAGAGACUUUCAUGUCACACACUCAAAAACUAUUUUCAAAAGUAAAAAUACAUGUUCAUAUGUAUUAAAGAUUAAAAUUUAUGCUAUUUGAGCAUAAAAAACAUAAGAAUAAUUUUUUGGUACACAGUAACAUACUUUAAAGUUCUCUUAGAUAGAAUAUGUCUCUAAUAAUACAUCAUAGGUGUUUUUUUCCUAAAGACUAUAUUCUUUUUCAAUAAGGUCCCUUUAUUUUUAAUUUUUCAUAAAGUUUCCUAAAACCCUCAAAUUUUCAUUUUAUAGUUAAUUUGAAUUGUUAGCAGCUUUUUUCUUCAUGGUUAUAAUCUAAAUUGAAAAGUUAAUAAUUGUAAGGUCUGCAUAAUACCUGAUAAGCUCAGAACAAAGUGAAAGAGUUUCAAUUCUAAUUUUCUUUUAUUUUUUCAUUUAAAUAUAUAAAUACUUAAAUUCAAAUAUUUUCAUAGGUACUUUCUUUUUUUCUUUUUUAACUGUCAAUUUUGCACUUUUGUAUGACAAAUAUUUUUUAAAGGAAAAAAUCAUCAAAAAUUCUGUCAUGAUUCUUUGAGUAUUACAAAUAUACACAUUUGUUGAGUAAAACAAAUAUACAUAUUACAAAAAUAUAGGCCUUUCAAUUUCAUUCUGUUGUGGCAAAGAAUGCAAAUUUAGGCAAUUAAAAACAAACAAACAAAAAGUUUGUCUAACAGUUCUUUGUGUAAGUCAAAAUAAUGGAAAGCACAAUUAUGAAACUUUAAAAUUAAAUCUUGUAAAAACCACUUAAACUCUCAUUGUUUAUCAGUUCCUCCCUUGCUUUAUGUGGCUUAGUUUCAGUAUCUUCUUGUUUGCUUUAGUUUCAAUAAUUGCAAUUUGCUAAAAUGUACACGCUAAAGUUUUGGGGAGCUCCUCUUAUUGAAUACUUUGAAUAAGUACUUCCAACUGAUUUUAAACAAAAUAUUGCAAAAUUUAAAUAAUAUAUUUACAAAAAUGUUCAAUGUCAUUAUAGGACACAUGUUGAGUUAGAAAUUUGUUCUUGAAAGAUUCAAAUGUUUCUAAAAUCUAACUAAUUUUGGACAACAAAAAGUGAAUUUAUAUGCCACCUUACCUAAGCAUUUUCUUGCUUCAACAUCAGUGUUGCCAUGAAAAUUAUGUAGCUCAGUUAUUUUACCUUUAUAUUUAUAAAAAUAUUCAUAAAUUUUGAUAAUACAGUUUCUAUUACAAUUGGUAGAGUAUCACAGCUUGUUUGAACACAAUUAUGAAUCAUCUGUAUAGAAAUCAAUUCCAGUAUAUUUUUGUUCCAUAGCACUGUUUUUUUUUCCCAUAGUCCUGAACAUCACCAAAAUUUGUAAACAUACAAUGACUGCAAAAACAAGUAAUUUAAUCCUUAGUGUUGCACUUUGUAACUGAAUUUACAGUAAUAGCAUUCACAAUAAUUUCAGGCAUUUUGCUUUAAACAAAAUAAAAUCCUGAAAGUUUUGCUUUGAUUCCAUGAAAAAUUUUUUGGAAGUUUGCAACUAUUGCUGGAACUAAUGGGAUUUUUUUGGUGACACCAGAUGACACAGAUAUAAAAUUGGCAUUAUUUAAUAGUUUGGCUGGAUCAUCAAAAAAGCAAGAGAGUUCCAGAAAACAUCUAUUUCUGCUUUAUUGACUAUGUCAAAGCCUUUGACUGUGUGGAUCACAAUAAACUGUGGAAAAUUCUGAAA
Molecule: long non-coding RNA, 3660 nt
Organism: Cervus elaphus (red deer)
Lineage: Eukaryota; Metazoa; Chordata; Mammalia; Artiodactyla; Cervidae
Exons: 3
Source: RefSeq, a predicted model, not a curated record